AUGGGUUUGCUGUCUCAUCUCAAGAGCCUCGUAUUUCUAUACCACCGCGCUGCCAGCACCUUCCUCCUGCGAAUUGUCACCACGUUGACACUCGCACCUGGCGUCCUCAAGAGAGUUGCACCAUGGCUACCUGCUUCACUUGAGACUAUGCCCCAACUCAGUGCCAUCUAUCCCAUCCAUCUACUCCUUGCCGUCGUUCUACCGAUCGUCGCGGCUACCAUCUACCUUGCACUCCGCCGUAGAACUGUAUACCUUGUUGACUAUGCUUGCUUCCGGCCGAGCUCCAACUUAAGAAUCCCAAAGGCAGCCUUCCUGGAGCAUGCACAUGUCUCGCCUUUGUUUGAUAAUUCUACUGUCAACUUCAUAGCUACUGUUCUUGAGCGCUCGGGCAUGAGCGAUGAGACACAUGUCCCGCAUGCACAUCACUAUAUAGAGCCACAUUGUGGGCUUGACGAAGGACGUGCCGAAGCAGAGUUGGUGGUCUUCUCUGUGAUGGAUGACCUUUUCGCCAAGACGUGCAUCAACCACGGCACAAUUGGUGCUCUUAUCACCAACUGUAGUACAUUUAGUCCGGUACCAUCUAUGGCUGACAUGAUUGUAAACAGGUACAAGUUACGAGGUGAUCUCCGUGUCAUUAACCUCUCUGGGAUGGCGUGUUCUGCAUCAGUGACCGCAGUGGGGCUCGCAAGCAACAUGUUGCAAGUGAUGCCUUGGGGGUCACAUGUGUUGGUGGUGUCGACGGAGACCAUUGGGCCAUUCUACUAUGCGGGGAAUAAGCGUUCUAUGCAGUUGGUUAACGUCUUGUUCCGCAUAGGCGGUGCUGCCAAAUUGUUAUCGACUUCUAAGUCAAAGGCCCGGUUUCGUCUUGGACAUUUCACGCGGACGAUCACUGCGGCAAACAACGCUGCUUACCGAUGUGUUUAUCAAGAGGAAGAUGACAAGGGCAACCUAGGGAUUGCUCUCUCUAAAGACCUUAUGGAUGUCGCUGGGAACGCACUCAAGGAAAAUAUCAUGACAACCGGGCCUCUUGUCCUACCCGCAUCAGAGCUUCUCAAGUUUUUGUUCUUCUAUGUGGCGAAAAAGGUGCUCCGUUGGUGGAAGAUUAGACCAUACAUCCCCAACUUUUGUGUUGCAUUUGAGCAUUUCUGCAUCCAUGUUGGCGGACCGGCGGUUAUCACCUCGGUACAACGUGGUCUUAAUCUAUCAGACAAGCAUGUUGAGCCAUCGAAGAUGACGCUGCAUCGAUUUGGAAACCAAUCGACAUCAUCGGUGUGGUAUGAGUUAUCAUACAUCGAGGCCAAAGGCCGGAUGAAGAAAGGCAAUAGGGUGUGGAUGAUCGGAUUCGGUGCAGGGUACGAGUGCAACACCGUUGGUUGGGUGUGUAUACAACCAUCUUCACGUAUGGAUGGACCCUGGGCUAGCUGCAUCCAUCGUUACCCAGUGGAUGUCUCCAAGAGUGGCUAA
This 1464-nucleotide ribosomal RNA is filed under the name Triticum aestivum (bread wheat). RNAcentral describes it as "partial small subunit ribosomal RNA". Lineage: Eukaryota; Viridiplantae; Streptophyta; Magnoliopsida; Poales; Poaceae. The record is from RNAcentral.